CUCUGCUCCGCGAUGUUUUGUUAGAUUUGGUGGAGAAACCAAGUCUGACCACCAGAUGUCACUAAUGCGCACUGUGUUAAAAAAGUUAUAAAAAAUAUU
This is a long non-coding RNA of Sinocyclocheilus rhinocerous, 99 nucleotides long. RefSeq lists it as uncharacterized. The record is from RefSeq and is a predicted model, not a curated record. NCBI's taxonomy places the organism in Eukaryota, Metazoa, Chordata, Actinopteri, Cypriniformes, Cyprinidae. The transcript has 3 exons.